ACUCGGCAGUGGCGGACGGGUGAGUAACGCGUAGGAAUCUAUCCUUGAAUGGGGGACAACCGUGGGAAACUACGGCUAAUACCGCAUGAUCCGCGAGGGACGGAACGAACGAACGUAACGCCGUUGAGGAGGAGCCUGCGUCUGAUUAGGUAGUUGGUGGGGUAAAGGCCUACCAAGCCUGCGAUCAGUAGCUGGUCUGAGAGGAUGAUCAGCCACACUGGGACUGAGACACGGCCCAAACUCCUACGGGAGGCAGCAGUGGGGAAUAUUGGACAAUGGGCGAAAGCCUGAUCCAGCAAUGCCGCGUGUGUGAAGAAGGUCUUCGGAUUGUAAAGCACUUUUGGCAGGGACGAUGAUGACGGUACCUGCAGAAUAAGCCCCGGCUAACUUCGUG
Molecule: ribosomal RNA, 394 nt
Filed under: uncultured bacterium
Lineage: Bacteria
Description: bacterial SSU rRNA
Rfam family: Bacterial small subunit ribosomal RNA
Source: RNAcentral